UCCAGGUUAACCCUGGCAGUCUCCUUAGAGUGCCCAACUUAAUGCUGGCAACUAAGAACGGGGGUUGCGCUCGUUGCGAGACUUAACCCAACAUUUCACAACACGAGCUGACGACAGCCAUGCAGCGCCUGUCUCCGCAUUCCCCGAAGGGCACUCCCUCAUCUCUGAAGGAUUCGCGGGAUUUCAAACCCAGGUAAGGUUUUGCGCGUUGCUUCGAAUUAAACCACAUAAUCCACCGCUUGUGCGGGCCCCCGUCAAUUCCUUUGAGUUUUAGUCUUGCGACCGUACUCCCCAGGCGGAGCACUUAAAGCGUUUGCUACGUCACGGCCGGGGUUAAUACCGGCCACAACUAGUGCUCAACGUUUACGGCGUGGACUAC
This 379-nucleotide unclassified non-coding RNA is filed under the name uncultured Bacteriovoracaceae bacterium. RNAcentral describes it as "contains 16S-23S intergenic spacer region". Lineage: Bacteria; Pseudomonadati; Bdellovibrionota; Bacteriovoracia; Bacteriovoracales; Bacteriovoracaceae. The record is from RNAcentral.